This 486-nucleotide ribosomal RNA is filed under the name uncultured bacterium. Its description in RNAcentral is "partial 16S ribosomal RNA". It matches the Rfam family "Bacterial small subunit ribosomal RNA", at positions 28 to 523 of the family's 1533-position model. The record is from RNAcentral.
GAUGAACGCUGGCGGCGUGCUUAACACAUGCAAGUCGAACGGUGAACGAGGGAGCUUGCUCCCUCCGGAUCAGUGGCGAACGGGUGAGUAACACGUGAGCAAUCUGCCCUGGACUCUGGGAUAAGCGUUGGAAACGACGUCUAAUACCGGAUACGAGGCGUGGGGGCAUCCCCAACGCCUGGAAAGAAUUUCGGUCCAGGAUGAGCUCGCGGCCUAUCAGGUAGUUGGUGAGGUAAUGGCUCACCAAGCCUACGACGGGUAGCCGGCCUGAGAGGGUGACCGGCCACACUGGGACUGAGACACGGCCCAGACUCCUACGGGGGGCAGCAGUGGGGAAUAUUGCACAAUGGGCGCAAGCCUGAUGCAGCAACGCCGCGUGAGGGACGACGGCCUUCGGGUUGUAAACCUCUUUUAGCAGGGAAGAAGCGAAAGUGACGGUACCUGCAGAAAAAACACCGGCUAACUACGUGCCAGCCGCCGCUGUAA